AAGAAUACGAUCUAUAGCUGGUCUGAUUGGAUGAUCAACCACACUGGGACUGAGACACGGCCCAGACUCCUACGGGAGGCAGCAGUGGGGAAUCUUGCACAAUGGGCGAAAGCCUGAUGCAGCCAUGCCGCGUGAAUGAUGAAGGCCUUAGGGUUGUAAAAUUCUUUCGCUAGGGAUGAUAAUGACAGUACCUAGUAAAGAAGCCCCGGCUAACUUCGUGCCAGCAGCCGCGGUAAUACGAAGGGGGCUAGCGUUGUUCGGAAUUACUGGGCGUAAAGCGCACGUAGGCGGACUUUUAAGUCAUAUGUGAAAUCCCGGGGCUCAACCUCGGAACUGCAUUUGAAACUGGAAGUCUGGAGUUCAGGAGAGGUUAGCGGAAUACCGAGUGUAGAGGUGAAAUUCGUAGAUAUUCGGUGGAACACCAGUGGCGAAGGCGGCUAACUGGACUGAUACUGACGCUGAGGUGCGAAAGUGUGGGGAGCAAACAGGAUUAGAUACCCUGGUAGUCCACACCGUAAACGAUGACAGCUAGUUGUUGGCAGGCAUGCCUGUCGGUGACGCAGCUAACGCAUUAAGCUGUCCGCCUGGGGAGUACGGCCGCAAGGUUAAAACUCAAAGAAAUUGACGGGGGCCCGCACAAGCGGUGGAGCAUGUGGUUUAAUUUCAUAAGCAACGCGCAGAACCUUACCUACCCUUGACAUCCCGAUCGCGGUUUCCAGAGAUGGAUUCCUUCAUUU
This 737-nucleotide ribosomal RNA is filed under the name Hyphomonas sp. RAS17. RNAcentral's name for it is "bacterial SSU rRNA". It matches the Rfam family "Bacterial small subunit ribosomal RNA", at positions 270 to 1021 of the family's 1533-position model. The record is from RNAcentral. Lineage: Bacteria; Pseudomonadati; Pseudomonadota; Alphaproteobacteria; Hyphomonadales; Hyphomonadaceae.